RNAcentral lists this long non-coding RNA (216 nucleotides) under Homo sapiens (human). Its description in RNAcentral is "HSALNT0197728". Lineage: Eukaryota; Metazoa; Chordata; Mammalia; Primates; Hominidae. The record is from RNAcentral.
CCACCGCCGCCUCUUGGAGUCAAGCCUCUGGUGCCACCUGUGGGCCCCGUGGGCUGUUUUGGGCGCAGCCCCCCUCUUGGCCAUGGUCUUGCCAAAGCUGCUUUCUUGGCUGUUCUGAGACUCCAGCCUCGAGGGCAAGGCGUACCUGACUUGAAUGGGGACAGGAAGAAGGAAGGCAGGGUCAGAAAAGUGGAGAGCAGGCUUGUGUUGGCUCAG